UGGGGAAUUUUGGACAAUGGGCGCAAGCCUGAUCCAGCCAUGCCGCGUGCGGGAAGAAGGCCUUCGGGUUGUAAACUGCUUUUGUACGGAACGAAACGGUCUUUUCUAAUACAGAAGGCUAAUGACGGUACCGUAAGAAUAAGCACCGGCUAACUACGUGCCAGCAGCCGCGGUAAUACGUAGGGUGCGAGCGUUAAUCGGAAUUACUGGGCGUAAAGCGUGCGCAGGCGGUUUUGUAAGACAGAGGUGAAAUCCCCGGGCUCAACCUGGGAAUUGCCUUUGUGACUGCAAGGCUUGAGUGCGGCAGAGGGGGAUGGAAUUCCGCGUGUAGCAGUGAAAUGCGUAGAUAUGCGGAGGAACACCGAUGGCGAAGGCAAUCCCCUGGACCUGUACUGACGCUCAUGCACGAAAGCGUGGGGAGCAAACA
RNAcentral lists this ribosomal RNA (427 nucleotides) under uncultured bacterium. RNAcentral's name for it is "bacterial SSU rRNA". It matches the Rfam family "Bacterial small subunit ribosomal RNA", at positions 355 to 774 of the family's 1533-position model. The record is from RNAcentral.